GACGAACGCUGGCGGCGUGCUUAACACAUGCAAGUCGAGCGGUAAGGCCCUUUCGGGGGUACACGAGCGGCGAACGGGUGAGUAACACGUGGGUGACCUGCCCUUAGCUCUGGGAUAAGCCUGGGAAACUGGGUCUAAUACCGGAUAUGACUCCAUGACGCAUGUUGUGGGGUGGAAAGCCUUGUGCGGCUAGGGAUGGGCCCGCGGCCUAUCAGCUUGUUGGUGGGGUGAUGGCCUACCAAGGCGACGACGGGUAGCCGGCCUGAGAGGGCGACCGGCCACACUGGGACUGAGACACGGCCCAGACUCCUACGGGAGGCAGCAGUGGGGAAUCUUGCGCAAUGGGGCGAAAGCCUGACGCAGCGACGCCGCGUGAGGGAUGACGGCCUCGGUU
RNAcentral lists this ribosomal RNA (394 nucleotides) under uncultured bacterium. Its description in RNAcentral is "bacterial SSU rRNA". It matches the Rfam family "Bacterial small subunit ribosomal RNA", at positions 28 to 424 of the family's 1533-position model. The record is from RNAcentral.